GAUGAACGCUGGCGGCGUGCCUAAUACAUGCAAGUCGAGCGAACGGACGAGAAGCUUGCUUUUCUGAUGUUAGCGGCGGACGGGUGAGUAACACGUGGAUAACCUACCUAUAAGACUGGGAUAACCUCGGGAAACCGGAGCUAAUACCGGAUAAUAUUUUGAACCGCAUGGUUCAAAAGUGAAAGACGGUCUUGCUGUCACUUAUAGAUGGAUCCGCGCUGCAUUAGCUAGUUGGUAAGGUAACGGCUUACCAAGGCAACGAUGCAUAGCCGACCUGAGAGGGUGAGGGGAAACACGGAAACGGAGACGGGGUCAAGACUCCGAGGGGCGGCAGAAGGAGGAAAUCUUCAGAAAUGGGCAAAAGCCGGAAGGAGCAACGCGGGGGGAGGGAGAAGGGUUUUGGAAUCGAAAAACUUGGUUAUAGGGAAAAAACAUAUGUGAAAGAACGGGGGCAAACUUGGAGGUAACAUAAGAAAAAAGCCAGGGCAAACAAGGUC
RNAcentral lists this ribosomal RNA (497 nucleotides) under uncultured bacterium. Its description in RNAcentral is "partial 16S ribosomal RNA". It matches the Rfam family "Bacterial small subunit ribosomal RNA", at positions 28 to 507 of the family's 1533-position model. The record is from RNAcentral.